UACGGAGGAUCCGAGCGUUAUCCGGAUUUAUUGGGUUUAAAGGGUGCGUAGGCGGGAGAUUAAGUCGGUGGUGAAAUUUUGCAGCUCAACUGUAAAAGUGCCAUUGAUACUGGUUUCCUUGAGUGUGGAUGAAGUAGGCGGAAUUUGUGGUGUAGCGGUGAAAUGCAUAGAUAUCACGAGGAACUCCGAUUGCGCAGGCAGCUUACUAAACCAUAACUGACGCUCAGGCACGAAGGCGUGGGGAUCAAACAGGAUUAGAUACCCCCGUA
Molecule: ribosomal RNA, 269 nt
Filed under: uncultured prokaryote
Description: partial 16S ribosomal RNA
Rfam family: Bacterial small subunit ribosomal RNA
Source: RNAcentral